This 608-nucleotide ribosomal RNA is filed under the name Flavobacterium sp. Ri3Ps_5266. RNAcentral describes it as "bacterial SSU rRNA". It matches the Rfam family "Bacterial small subunit ribosomal RNA", at positions 395 to 1003 of the family's 1533-position model. The record is from RNAcentral. Lineage: Bacteria; Pseudomonadati; Bacteroidota; Flavobacteriia; Flavobacteriales; Flavobacteriaceae.
UGCCGCGUGCAGGAUGACGGUCUUAUGGAUUGUAAACUGCUUUUGUACGAAAAAAAACACUCCUAUGUAUAGGAGCUUGACGGUAUCGGAUAAAUAAGGAUCGGCUAACUCCGUGCCAGCAGCCGCGGUAAUACUGAGGAUCCAAGCGUUAUCCGGAAUCAUUGGGUUUAAAGGGUCCGUACGCGGUUUAAUAAGUCAGUGGUGAAAGCCCAUCGCUCAACGGUGGAACGGCCAUUGAUACUGCUGAACUAGAAUUAUUUUGAAGUAACUACAAUAUGUAGUGUAGCGGUGAAAUGCUAAAAGAUUACAUGGAACACCUCUUGGGAACGCAGGUUACUACUAAUUGAUUGACGCUGAUGGACGAAAGCGUGUGUAGCGAACGGGAUUACAUACCCUGGUAGUCCACGCCGUAAACGAUGGAUACUACCUGUUGGGAGCAAUUUCAGUGGCUAAGCGAAAGUGAUAAGUAUCCCACCUGGGGAGUACGUUCGCAAGAAUGAAACUCAGAGGAAUUGACGGGGGCCCGCACAAGCGUGUGGAGCAUGUGGUUUAAUUCGAUGAUACGCGAGGAACCUUACCAAGGCUUAAAUGUAGAUUGACCGUUUUGG